RNAcentral lists this ribosomal RNA (506 nucleotides) under uncultured bacterium. RNAcentral's name for it is "partial 16S ribosomal RNA". It matches the Rfam family "Bacterial small subunit ribosomal RNA", at positions 30 to 523 of the family's 1533-position model. The record is from RNAcentral.
AUUGAACGCUGGCGGCAGGCCUAACACAUGCAAGUCGAACGGUAACAGGAGACAGCUUGCUGUUUCGCUGACGAGUGGCGGACGGGUGAGUAAUGUCUGGGAAACUGCCUGAUGGAGGGGGAUAACUACUGGAAACGGUAGCUAAUACCGCAUAACGUCGCAAGACCAAAGAGGGGGACCUUCGGGCCUCUUGCCAUCGGAUGUGCCCAGAUGGGAUUAGCUUGUUGGUGGGGUAACGGCUCACCAAGGCGACGAUCCCUAGCUGGUCUGAGGGGAUGACCAGCCACACUGGAACUGAGACACGGUCCAGACUCCUACGGGAGGCAGCAGUGGGGAAUAUUGCACAAUGGGCGCAAGCCUGAUGCAGCCAUGCCGCGUGUAUGAAGAAGGCCUUCGGGUUGUAAAGUACUUUCAGCGGGGAGGAAGAGAGUAAAGUUAAUACCUUUACUCAUUGACGUUACCCGCAGAAGAAGCACCGGCUAACUCCGUGCCAGCCGCCGCCGUAA